Non-coding RNA from Vicugna pacos (alpaca), 72 nucleotides. The record is from the annotation of a RefSeq genome assembly. NCBI's taxonomy places the organism in Eukaryota, Metazoa, Chordata, Mammalia, Artiodactyla, Camelidae.
GGGGAUAUAGCUCAGUGGUAGAGCACAUGCUUGGCAUGCAGGAGGUCCUGGGUUCAAUCCCCAGUGCCUCUG